RNAcentral lists this unclassified non-coding RNA (1205 nucleotides) under Hevea brasiliensis (rubber tree). Lineage: Eukaryota; Viridiplantae; Streptophyta; Magnoliopsida; Malpighiales; Euphorbiaceae. The record is from RNAcentral.
GAAUAAGUGAAAUGACAUGUACUGGUGAAAGCAAAGAAGUUGUUAAGGUCAUUAGUAUGGUUAUUAAAAAUUGUUAGAGUUGUUUUACAAUUCACUAAUGAAAGGAAGAUGCAUGGUAGUUGUAGCACAGAAUAUGGGAAGAAAUAGAAGCAUGCAUUAUUCUUCUGUAUACACCAGUUGUAUAAAUGAUGAAAGAAUAUCUAUAUGAAGGUGUCUUAGACAAUAGUUUAAUGAAGACGUGUUUCUCUUUUUGAAUUCUAUUGAUUCCCUCUAUUAUUUGUUCUUACUAUUCUUGUGUUUUAGUGGUCAGAAAAGCACAUAGCAAUUGGCUUGUAAGGGGGGACUUGUUAAGCUCUCAUUAAGCUUAUCCCUUAUCAAUGUCGGAUCAUUAUAAUACCCUCCACACUUAGAGAGCCAACAUCCUUAUUGGUCACAACCAUGUUGGUUAUAGGUAGCACCCUACACUUUGAACCACCUACCUUAGAGAAUGGGCCUAGGCCACCACUCCAAGUGUAGGGUCUCACAAGAUGGGGUUGGCUUUGAUAGCAAUUAAUAUGAACUAUUGAGAACUACAAGUUGCUAUGGUUAAACCACAUGAGAAAUAGGCCACUUAGGUUGAACUCACCCUUGAAAAUUGAAUUGCAAAUAGAGACUGUCUAAGGACUUAUUAUGCUUUCACCAAGCUGAUGUCCUAGCAAUGUGGGAUCGCAACACCAACAUAAGCAAAAAUAAGCUCAACUUAACCUCAUUCCAAUAUACAAGCCGAGAUGCAACUCAUCAUUUAUAGGCAUGCAUAAACUUAUAACAAGGGAGCUUUGCUCAACCUCAAAACCAUACAUAUUCAAUAACAAAAUAACAUUAUCAGGGGAGUCCAACUUAACCAUAGAUGCAUAAAUAUAUCAUAUUGGGGAAUCCAGUUCAUCCUUAUUCAUACAUAUAUCAUCAUCUCUUAGGAAAUCUCAUUGCUAACCAUAACCAUAUAAAUAUAUGUUACAUUACCCAAUAACACCAACUAAGGUCAUUAUGAAGUUCUAGAAAGUAAAGACAAUAACUAUAAUAUCCAUAAAGUACAGGACUGCUAAUUGACAAAGUUGUGAAUAGGAUGAGAAUUUGGUUAAACAAAUCGAAUGAAAUUUUCAACUAACCAAAUUUUUAAUCGACUCUAAAAUAUUAACUGAACCAAACCAAAUUUGAGGAAAAAAAUC